AGGUACCCAGGAGUAAGGACCUGUAAUAAUGUGAAGAAUGAGAACAGCAUAUGAGCAGCAGACAGCAUUCCCCUCUACAACCCGGCUAAGAAUCCUUCCGCUAGCAAUCAUCGCAGAGAAAUAUUCAUGCUCUAAAGAAACACAAGUGGCAAUAGAUUAACAUUGCUGGUGGAACAGCAAAACAAGCACAGAAGCACACCGUCUCCUUUUUGGACACCAUCCCCCAAAUGCUGCCUGGAGAGCUGACGAGCAGUGCACCUGAGGCCAGCAUGACCCCUCUGGUGAGGGGAGGAGGGGCAAAUGGUGGAAACUAAUGACCGAAGAGGCAGAAGUGUUUGGAUGCCAUUCGUGGGUUUACAUCAGAAGUGCUGACCAGCAGUGGCAUGGGCAAUCCUGGAAUCUCCAAUUACCAACGGCAGCAGACUGAGAUGUCACUUUCCAGGGCAACAUUUUGUUGCACAGACAUGUAAGUCAGAUCAAGUCCUGAGCAACCUCAAAGCCACUGAGGAAUGAAUGAAUAAAUAAAUAAAGAAGCAUCUAAUGAAAGCAAGCAUUGAGAGUGGCAACUCCUACCUGUUCUGCUACAAAAAAAAAAUCCUUUUGUUAACAUUAAUAUUUGGCAGCUGGUGUAGAACACACAAGGGCAUUUUAGUUGGGUUUUAAAGAAAGAAAUUGACACAGAAAGAAGGCAAUGAUUUUUUUAAUAGAGGAUCUCUCUGGGGGGUUUGUGUUCAUAUCACCAAUAUUCACUUUAUUACAUUUUAUGGAAUGGAGUUUAAAUGCCAGUAUAUACAAGCCAACAUUUCAUU
Molecule: long non-coding RNA, 809 nt
Organism: Cygnus atratus (black swan)
Lineage: Eukaryota; Metazoa; Chordata; Aves; Anseriformes; Anatidae
Exons: 4
Source: RefSeq, a predicted model, not a curated record